GACGAACGCUGGCGGCGUGCUUAACACAUGCGAGUCGAACGGAAAGGCCCUGCUUUUGUGGGGUGCUCGAGUGGCGAACGGGUGAGUAACACGUGAGUAGCCUGCCCUUGACUUUGGGAUAACUUCAGGAAACUGGGGCUAAUACCGGAUAGGAGCUCCUGCUGCAUGGUGGGGGUUGGAAAGUUUCGGCGGUUGGGGAUGGACUCGCGGCUUUUCAGCUUGUUGGUGGGGGAGUGGCUUACCAAGGCUUUGACGGGUAGCCGGCCUGGGAGGGUGACCGGCCACAUUGGGACUGAGAUACGGCCCAGACUCCUACGGGAGGCAGCAGGGGGGAAUAUUGCACAAUGAGCGGAAGCCGGAUGCAGCAACGCCGCGUGCGGGAUGACGGCCUUCGGGGUGUAAACCGCUGUCGCCUGUGACGAAGCGUGAGUGACGGUAAUGGGUAAAGAAGCACCGGCUAACUACGUG
Molecule: ribosomal RNA, 468 nt
Filed under: uncultured bacterium
Lineage: Bacteria
Description: partial 16S ribosomal RNA
Rfam family: Bacterial small subunit ribosomal RNA
Source: RNAcentral